RNAcentral lists this ribosomal RNA (735 nucleotides) under uncultured bacterium. Its description in RNAcentral is "SSU rRNA". It matches the Rfam family "Bacterial small subunit ribosomal RNA", at positions 84 to 853 of the family's 1533-position model. The record is from RNAcentral.
UUUCGGGCAUAGUGGCGCACGGGUGCGUAACGCGUGGGAAUCUGCCCCUUGGUUCGGAAUAACUCAGAGAAAUUUGAGCUAAUACCGGAUGACGACGUAAGUCCAAAGAUUUAUCGCCGAGGGAUGAGCCCGCGUAGGAUUAGCUAGUUGGUGGGGUAAAGGCCUACCAAGGCGACGAUCCUUAGCUGGUCUGAGAGGAUGAUCAGCCACACUGGGACUGAGACACGGCCCAGACUCCUACGGGAGGCAGCAGUGGGGAAUAUUGGACAAUGGGCGAAAGCCUGAUCCAGCAAUGCCGCGUGAGUGAUGAAGGCCUUAGGGUUGUAAAGCUCUUUUACCCGGGAUGAUAAUGACAGUACCGGGAGAAUAAGCUCCGGCUAACUCCGUGCCAGCAGCCGCGGUAAUACGGAGGGAGCUAGCGUUGUUCGGAAUUACUGGGCGUAAAGCGCACGUAGGCGGCUUUGUAAGUUAGAGGUGAAAGCCUGGAGCUCAACUCCAGAACUGCCUUUGAUACUGCAUGGCUUGAAUCCAAGAGAGGUGAGUGGAAUUCCGAGUGUAGAGGUGAAAUUCGUAGAUAUUCGGAAGAACACCAGUGGCGAAGGCGGCUCACUGGCUUGGCAUUGACGCUGAGGUGCGAAAGCGUGGGGGAGCAAACAGGAUUAGAUACCCUGGUAGUCCACGCCGUAAACGAUGAUAACUAGCUGUCGGGGCACUUGGUGUUUCGGUGGCGCAGCU